GAGUUUGAUCAUGGCUCAGAUUGAACGCUGGCGGCGUGCCUAACACAUGCAAGUCGAGCGGUAACAGGUGUAGCAAUACAUGCUGACGAGCGGCGGACGGGUGAGUAACGCUUGGGAAUCUGCCUGUUAGUGGGGGACAACCCGGGGAAACUCGGGCUAAUACCGCAUACGCACUACGGUGGAAAGCCGGGGACCGCAAGGCCUGGCGCUAACAGAUGAGCCCAAGUCGGAUUAGCUAGUUGGUAGGGUAACGGCCUACCAAGGCGACGAUCCGUAACUGGUCUGAGAGGACGACCAGUCACACCGGAACUGAGACACGGUCCGGACUCCUACGGGAGGCAGCAGUGGGGAAUAUUGGACAAAUGGGGGAAACCCUGAUCCAGCGACGCCGCGUGGGUGAAGAAGGCCUGCGGGUUGUAAAGCCCUUUCAGUGGGGAAGAAAAGCCUCGAGUUAAUACCUCGGGGCCUUGACGUAACCCAUAGAAGAAGCACCGGCUAACUCUGUGCCAGCCGCCGCGGU
This 520-nucleotide ribosomal RNA is filed under the name uncultured Gammaproteobacteria bacterium. RNAcentral describes it as "bacterial SSU rRNA". It matches the Rfam family "Bacterial small subunit ribosomal RNA", at positions 9 to 521 of the family's 1533-position model. Lineage: Bacteria; Pseudomonadati; Pseudomonadota; Gammaproteobacteria. The record is from RNAcentral.